GGUCAAGCGAACAAGUGCAUGUGGUGGAUGCCUUGGCGAUCACAGGCGAUGAAGGACGCGGUAGCCUGCGAAAAGCCCCGGGGAGCUGGCAAACAAGCUUUGAUCCGGGGAUGUCCGAAUGGGGAAACCCACUCCGUAUGGAGUAUCCAUAGCUGAAUACAUAGGCUAUGUGAAGCGAACGCGGUGAACUGAAACAUCUAAGUAACCGCAGGAAAAGAAAUCAACCGAGAUUCCCAAAGUAGUGGCGAGCGAAAUGGGAUGAGCCUUGUACUCUUUAUUUGUAUUGUUAGCCGAACGCUCUGGAAAGUGCGGCCAUAGCAGGUGAUAGCCCUGUAGGCGAAAACAGUAUGAAAGAACUAGGUGUACGACAAGUAGGGCGGGACACGUGAAAUCCUGUCUGAAGAUGGGGGGACCAUCCUCCAAGGCUAAAUACUCGUGAUCGACCGAUAGUGAACCAGUACCGUGAGGGAAAGGCGAAAAGAACCCCGGGAGGGGAGUGAAAUAGAUCCUGAAACCGCAUGCAUACAAACAGUCGGAGCCUCGUAAGGGGUGACGGCGUACCUUUUGUAUAAUGGGUCAGCGACUUACGUUCAGUAGCAAGCUUAACCGUAUAGGGCAGGCGUAGCGAAAGCGAGUCCGAAUAGGGCGUUCAGUUGCUGGGCGUAGACCCGAAACCAGGUGAUCUAUCCAUGGCCAGGAUGAAGGUGCGGUAACACGUACUGGAGGUCCGAACCCACUAACGUUGAAAAGUUAGGGGAUGAGCUGUGGAUAGGGGUGAAAGGCUAAACAAACCUGGAAAUAGCUGGUUCUCUCCGAAAACUAUUUAGGUAGUGCCUCGUGUCUCACCUUCGGGGGUAGAGCACUGUCAUGGUUGGGGGGUCUAUUGCAGAUUACCCCGCCAUAGCAAACUCCGAAUACCGAAGAGUGCAAUCACGGGAGACAGACAUCGGGUGCUAACGUCCGGUGUCAAGAGGGAAACAACCCAGACCGCCAGCUAAGGUCCCCAAAUAUGGCUAAGUGGGAAACGAAGUGGGAAGGCUAAAACAGUCAGGAGGUUGGCUUAGAAGCAGCCACCCUUUAAAGAAAGCGUAAUAGCUCACUGAUCGAGUCGUCCUGCGCGGAAGAUGUAACGGGGCUAAGCCAUAUACCGAAGCUGCGGAUGCGAGCUUGCUCGCAUGGUAGGAGAGCGUUCCGUAAGCCUGCGAAGGUGCCUUGUAAAGGGUGCUGGAGGUAUCGGAAGUGCGAAUGCUGACAUGAGUAGCGAUAAAGGGGGUGAAAGGCCCCCUCGCCGUAAGCCCAAGGUUUCCUACGCAACGUUCAUCGGCGUAGGGUGAGUCGGCCCCUAAGGCGAGGCAGAAAUGCGUAGCUGAUGGGAAGCAGGUCAAUAUUCCUGCACCAUUGUUAGAUGCGAUGGGGGGACGGAUCGCGGAAGGUUGUCCGGGUGUUGGACGUCCCGGUCGCUGCAUUGGAGAAGGCGCUUAGGCAAAUCCGGGCGCAGGAUUCAAGGGUGUGGCGCGAGCGACUUCGGUCGCGAAGCAAUUGGAAGUGGUUCCAAGAAAAGCCUCUAAGCUUCAGUCUAACGAUGACCGUACCGCAAACCGACACAGGUGGGCGAGAUGAGUAUUCUAAGGCGCUUGAGAGAACUCGGGAGAAGGAACUCGGCAAAUUGGUACCGUAACUUCGGGAUAAGGUACGCCCUUGUAGCUUGACCAGCCUGCGCUGGAAGGGUGAAGGGGUUGCAAUAAACUGGUGGCUGCGACUGUUUAAUAAAAACACAGCACUCUGCAAACACGAAAGUGGACGUAUAGGGUGUGACGCCUGCCCGGUGCCGGAAGAUUAAAUGAUGGGGUGCAAGCUCUUGAUUGAAGUCCCGGUAAACGGCGGCCGUAACUAUAACGGUCCUAAGGUAGCGAAAUUCCUUGUCGGGUAAGUUCCGACCUGCACGAAUGGCGUAACGAUGGCCACACUGUCUCCUCCCGAGACUCAGCGAAGUUGAAGUGUUUGUGAUGAUGCAAUCUACCCGCGGCUAGACGGAAAGACCCCAUGAACCUUUACUGUAGCUUUGCAUUGGACUUUGAACCGAUCUGUGUAGGAUAGGUGGGAGGCUAUGAAACCGGAACGCUAGUUUCGGUGGAGCCGUCCUUGAAAUACCACCCUGGUUUGUUUGAGGUUCUAACCUUGGUCCGUGAUCCGGAUCGGGGACAGUGCAUGGUAGGCAGUUUGACUGGGGCGGUCUCCUCCCAAAGGGUAACGGAGGAGUACGAAGGUACGCUAGGUACGGUCGGAAAUCGUGCUGAUAGUGCAAUGGCAUAAGCGUGCUUAACUGCGAGACCGACAAGUCGAGCAGGUGCGAAAGCAGGUCAUAGUGAUCCGGUGGUUCUGUAUGGAAGGGCCAUCGCUCAACGGAUAAAAGGUACUCUGGGGAUAACAGGCUGAUACCGCCCAAGAGUUCAUAUCGACGGCGGUGUUUGGCACCUCGAUGUCGGCUCAUCUCAUCCUGGGGCUGUAGCCGGUCCCAAGGGUAUGGCUGUUCGCCAUUUAAAGAGGUACGUGAGCUGGGUUUAAAACGUCGUGAGACAGUUUGGUCCCUAUCUGCCGUGGGCGUUGGAUAUUUGAAGGGGGCUGCUCCUAGUACGAGAGGACCGGAGUGGACGAACCUCUGGUGUACCGGUUGUGACGCCAGUCGCAUCGCCGGGUAGCUAUGUUCGGAAGAGAUAACCGCUGAAAGCAUCUAAGCGGGAAACUCGCCUUAAGAUGAGAUAUCCCUGGAGGCUUGACCUCCUUGAAGGGUCGUUCGAGACCAGGACGUUGAUAGGUCGGGUGUGUAAGCGCAGUAAUGCGUUCAGCUAACCGAUACUAAUUGCCCGUAAGGCUUGAUCCU
This 2881-nucleotide ribosomal RNA is filed under the name Burkholderia multivorans. RNAcentral describes it as "23S ribosomal RNA". It matches the Rfam family "Bacterial large subunit ribosomal RNA". The record is from RNAcentral. Lineage: Bacteria; Pseudomonadati; Pseudomonadota; Betaproteobacteria; Burkholderiales; Burkholderiaceae.